Molecule: long non-coding RNA, 226 nt
Filed under: Coffea arabica (coffee)
Lineage: Eukaryota; Viridiplantae; Streptophyta; Magnoliopsida; Gentianales; Rubiaceae
Description: long non-coding RNA (CARA_LNC000212)
Source: RNAcentral
AUCACUAAUUUCUUCCAAGUGCUACUGAAGCUACUCUUCUCCUCCUUGUCUGAACUUCUGAGAGUCUAGAUCAUUGAUGAGAUUAGAAGCUCAAUUUCCGCUUGCUACCACUCAUAUGUACCAGUGCAUCUUACUACACGGUCCAUACCUAUACAAAUGCAUCAAUCUAGUGGCCAUUGCUGUUGUUGUAUUUGCUGAGAGGGUUGACUUCAUUUCUUUCCAUCUA